AACGAACGCUGGCGGCAUGCCUAACACAUGCAAGUCGAACGAGACCUUCGGGUCUAGUGGCGCACGGGUGCGUAACGCGUGGGAAUCUGCCCUUGGGUUCGGAAUAACAGUUGGAAACGACUGCUAAUACCGGAUGAUGACGUAAGUCCAAAGAUUUAUCGCCCAGGGAUGAGCCCGCGUAGGAUUAGCUAGUUGGUGGGGUAAAGGCUUACCAAGGCGACGAUCCUUAGCUGGUCUGAGAGGAUGAUCAGCCACACUGGGACUGAGACACGGCCCAGACUCCUACGGGAGGCAGCAGUGGGGAAUAUUGGACAAUGGGCGAAAGCCUGAUCCAGCAAUGCCGCGUGAGUGAUGAAGGCCUUAGGGUUGUAAAGCUCUUUUACCCGGGAUGAUAAUGACAGUACCGGGAGAAUAAGCCCCGGCUAACUCCGUG
This 433-nucleotide ribosomal RNA is filed under the name uncultured bacterium. RNAcentral describes it as "partial 16S ribosomal RNA". It matches the Rfam family "Bacterial small subunit ribosomal RNA", at positions 29 to 507 of the family's 1533-position model. The record is from RNAcentral.